RNAcentral lists this signal recognition particle RNA (233 nucleotides) under bovine gut metagenome. RNAcentral describes it as "Bacterial large signal recognition particle RNA". It matches the Rfam family "Bacterial large signal recognition particle RNA". From Rfam's summary of the family: The signal recognition particle (SRP) is a universally conserved ribonucleoprotein involved in the co-translational targeting of proteins to membranes. Archaeal SRP consists of a 7S RNA and homologues of the eukaryotic SRP19 and SRP54 proteins. The record is from RNAcentral. RNAcentral also lists the same sequence under 1 other name.
GCACUAGUCGGGGAGCCAGCGGUGCCCUGUAACCUGCAAUCCGCUAUAGCAGGGAUGAAUUCCUUUCGGAGGAUAAGCUCCGUGUUGCCAGCCGAUGGUAAGCAGCGUAGAAGGUUCGGUCUUGCGCAACGGGAUCCCGUGAACCAUGUCAGGCGGGGAACCGAGCAGCAUUAAGCGGUGCAUACCGUGUGCCGCAAGGCAGCCGGACCCGAGCAGGCUGCCAUUGUACCGGA